Daphnia carinata is the source of this 2154-nucleotide long non-coding RNA. RefSeq lists it as uncharacterized. The record is from RefSeq and is a predicted model, not a curated record. The transcript is spliced from 5 exons. NCBI's taxonomy places the organism in Eukaryota, Metazoa, Arthropoda, Branchiopoda, Diplostraca, Daphniidae.
UGUUACAGUUAGUUUGUUUGUUAUUGUUAUUUUGUUGUUGUUUUAUAGUGAGGAGACUUUUACUACGAGUUUCCUGAUUCAAAAAAUGAGGAUUAGUGUCCUACGUCAGGUAAAGUAUUUCCCAUUGAAUAGAUUUUUUUUUAAAUUUGGUAAGUUGCACCAGCGAUUCUGGAACGAUCUUGGCUGAUUUUCGCUCUUCGUUUGCCAUUAACCAUCAAGCUCUAAAUUAAGCCAUAUCGGCGCCGUAACGGUAAAAAAUGGUUUGAAAUCACCAGGAACCAUUUGUAGCCACCAAAAGCCUGGCAAUGCCCCGGCUGGUGCAUGACGUCAUGCCUAGUUUUCUAACUGCCCUAACCCUAUGGAAUUCGACAUCAAAAAAUAGUAGAGAAAAGGUACAAUUUGGGAUUUUUUUUUCCUGAUGGGAUAAAUUAAAUAGGACCCAGACGUCUUCCCAUGUAUUAUACGUGUAUAUGUGUACAUGUAUUCAAGUAUAUUCGUUGGGUCUACUGUGUGCGAAUGGACGUGAUCAAGUUGACUUGAUAAAAAAUGUUGAUGUAAGAGUAACAUAAAAAAAAUUGUGUCAAAAUGAUAUUUGAAUUUCAAACAAGAUCAAAGCUUCCCAAAUUGCCUUACAUUCGGAUAAUAGAAACUUAUGUGACUACUCGAGGUUCAUGCCUUAAACCAGCAUCAAGAUACCCAUGUCACGUUCCGCGCACUUUUGAAUAGCUUAGCUAAUGUGGUCACUGAAACGAGGAGCUAUUGUAGCGGUGCGUGCCGUCUUUUCAACGCUUAUGCUAAAGAUUUUCUUUUCCUAUUAAAGAACCUAUACUAGACCUGAAGGAUUCGUGAAAAUAUUUCAGAAAUCCUGAAACAUCAUGCACUUACCUCGUUUGAUUUCCAUUUCACCAAUUCUUCAAAGUUACAUAAAAUUGUAUUAUAUCAUUUUCUUUUUCUAAUUUUCAGCCAGACAUUUAAAAGAGAACGACAACAGGAAGCUUUAUGCGGUAAUACAUCCAGAAGCUUCACUUCCAUAAAAGCCAGCAUAUGUUCACGUGAAACGGCGCCCACCAGACGAUAUUACCUCAGUUUGCCUUUCAUUUUUUCCCCCUAGCAAAUGGAAACGAAGUGGAACGUUUCCGGCAAAGACCAUUGACCUCUACCAGGCGUUCGUUGGUUUUCAAGCUGUUACCAAGGCUAUAUAAUACUAAUUCGAAGGUUAUGCUUGAGGCCUAGGAAUAAACAGCCAACUCAGAGAUCCUAACGUGAGACAUUAUUCGUUCACCACCUUAAUCUAAAUAGAAAUUGUUGCCGGAUUUCGAUGACAGCAGGAGAGUAUUUUAAACAAUCAUUAAUAAUGAAAAGGAAGCACAAUGCUAGGUGAAACGCAGAAAAAGGAUCAAAGUUUUCAUUUUGAUAAUGCUAAAAAUGGAAACCAGUAGCUCACCGCAUCACCAUUUAUUCGAGAGCAAACUGCGCUUGAAGAUCAGAAGCGGAAGAAAAUGGACUAUGACGUCAAUUCAUGAUGGCAUUAUAAAGCAAAGGAACAAGUGAAGGGCUAGAGAUCGAUGAGCCAUCGCAUUUCCCUCGCCAAUUUCAUUUAACGAAAUCAAACCGUCCACUGCUCAGCUGCUGCGAGAAUAAAAAAGAAAUUCAAAAAGAAAGGCCGGCCAAAACGAGUUUCUAGAUCCUACUGUCGCUAUACGAUAAAGCAAGGGCGCAUGCAUGUCAUGUUGUAAUGAAAUGUUCUUCUACGACGUUUUGUUUGAUGUUGACUCCAUGGUUCUGAAGGGAAGAUGUAUAGUGUGGGCCAGUGGAAGGCUGGCGUCUUAUUACGCGAACAACGACGACACUAUGAAGUCAUCUUGUUUCUUGUUCUCCUGUCUGCUUUUCUAUUUAUUCACCGUUUCAUAUCCAACUAAUAUCUGAACGUGCAUAGGCUUCUCUAAAAAAAAGGCCAUCGUUUUUCUUGCUCGGGUAUUGUGUGACGUACUUUUCACGUUUCCCUUUUCGUUUGGAAAUUCCUUUGAGUCUUCAGGGGCGGAAUCUUGUAUUCCUUUUGAAGCUAAUUAAUCACGUGAACAGUUUCUUUUUCAUAAUAGAGAUUGCCAUGCUGAAAUAGGGAGUCCUUUAUGAAGGACAGACUAGCAUGAUCAA